This 396-nucleotide ribosomal RNA is filed under the name uncultured bacterium. Its description in RNAcentral is "partial 16S ribosomal RNA". It matches the Rfam family "Bacterial small subunit ribosomal RNA", at positions 360 to 773 of the family's 1533-position model. The record is from RNAcentral.
AAUAUUGCACAAUGGGCGAAAGCCUGAUGCAGCAACGCCGCGUGAGCGAUGAAGGCCUUCGGGUCGUAAAGCUCUGUCCUAAGGGAAGAAUAAUGACGGUACCUUAGGAGGAAGCCCCGGCUAACUACGUGCCAGCAGCCGCGGUAAUACGUAGGGGGCAAGCGUUAUCCGGAAUCACUGGGCGUAAAGGGAGCGUAGGCGGCUUUUCAAGUCAGAGGUGAAAGGCUACGGCUCAACCGUAGUAAGCCUUUGAAACUGUAAAGCUUGAGUGCAGGAGAGGAGAGUGGAAUUCCUAGUGUAGCGGUGAAAUGCGUAGAUAUUAGGAGGAACACCAGUGGCGAAGGCGACUACCUGGACUGAUACUGACACUGAGGUGCGAAAGCGUGGGGAGCAAAC